RNAcentral lists this ribosomal RNA (468 nucleotides) under uncultured bacterium. RNAcentral describes it as "partial 16S ribosomal RNA". It matches the Rfam family "Bacterial small subunit ribosomal RNA", at positions 28 to 507 of the family's 1533-position model. The record is from RNAcentral.
GACGAACGCUGGCGGCGUGCUUAACACAUGCAAGUCGAACGGAAAGGCCCUGCUUUUGUGGGGUGCUCGAGUGGCGAACGGGUGAGUAACACGUGAGUAACCUGCCCUUGACUUUGGGAUAACUUCAGGAAACUGUGGCUAAUACCGGAUAGGAGCUCCUGCUGCAUGGUGGGGGUUGGAAAGUUUCGGCGGUUGGGGAUGGACUCGCGGCUUAUCAGCUUGUUGGUGGGGUAGUGGCUUACCAAGGCUUUGACGGGUAGCCGGCCUGAGAGGGUGACCGGCCACAUUGGGACUGAGAUACGGCCCAGACUCCUACGGGAGGCAGCAGUGGGGAAUAUUGCACAAUGGGCGGAAGCCUGAUGCAGCAACGCCGCGUGCGGGAUGACGGCCUUCGGGUUGUAAACCGCUUUCGCCUGUGACGAAGCGUGAGUGACGGUAAUGGGUAAAGAAGCACCGGCUAACUACGUG